CACGUAGGGGGCGAGCGUUGUCCGGAUUUAUUGGGCGUAAAGAGCGUGUAGGCGGCCAUGUAGGUCCGUUGUGAAAACUCGAGGCUCAACCUCGAGACGCCGAUGGAAACCAUGUGGCUAGAGUCCGGAAGAGGAGAGUGGAAUUCCUGGUGUAGCGGUGAAAUGCGCAGAUAUCAGGAAGAACACCCGUGGCUAAGGCGGCUCUCUAGUACGGUACUGACGCUGAGGAGCGAAAGCGUGGGGAGCGAACAGG
This 253-nucleotide ribosomal RNA is filed under the name uncultured bacterium. RNAcentral describes it as "partial 16S ribosomal RNA". It matches the Rfam family "Bacterial small subunit ribosomal RNA", at positions 524 to 776 of the family's 1533-position model. The record is from RNAcentral.